RNAcentral lists this ribosomal RNA (442 nucleotides) under uncultured bacterium. RNAcentral's name for it is "partial 16S ribosomal RNA". It matches the Rfam family "Bacterial small subunit ribosomal RNA", at positions 338 to 795 of the family's 1533-position model. The record is from RNAcentral.
CCUACGGGAGGCAGCAGUGGGGAAUAUUGGGCAAUGGGCGCAAGCCUGACCCAGCAACGCCGCGUGCAGGAAGAAGGCUUUCGGGUUGUAAAAUUCUUUUAAGAGGGAAGAGCAGAAGAAGGUACCUCUUGAUUAAGCCACGGCUAACUACGUGCCAGCAGCCGCGGUAAUACGUAGGUGGCAAGCGUUGUCCGGAUGUACUGGGUGUAAAGGGCGUGUAGCCGGGCUGACAAGUCAGAUGUGAAAUUCCGGGGCUCAACCCCGGACCUGCAUUUGAAACUGUUUGUCUUGAGUAUCGGAGAGGCAGGCGGAAUUCCUGGUGUAGCGGUGAAAUGCGUAGAGAUUAGGAGGAACACCAGUGGCGAAGGCGGCCUGCUGGACGACAACUGACGGUGAGGCGCGAAAGCGUGGGGAGCAAACAGGAUUAGAUACCCUUGUAGUC